RNAcentral lists this ribosomal RNA (460 nucleotides) under uncultured bacterium. Its description in RNAcentral is "partial 16S ribosomal RNA". It matches the Rfam family "Bacterial small subunit ribosomal RNA", at positions 338 to 795 of the family's 1533-position model. The record is from RNAcentral.
CCUACGGGGUGCAGCAGUGAGGAAUAUUGGUCAAUGGACGAGAGUCUGAACCAGCCAAGUAGCGUGAAGGAUGACUGCCCUAUGGGUUGUAAACUUCUUUUAUAUGGGAAUAAAAUGUUCCACGUGUGGGAUUUUGUAUGUACCAUAUGAAUAAGGAUCGGCUAACUCCGUGCCAGCAGCCGCGGUAAUACGGAGGAUCCUAGCGUUAUCCGGAUUUAUUGGGUUUAAAGGGAGCGUAGGUGGAUUGUUAAGUCAGUUGUGAAAGUUUGCGGCUCAACCGUAAAAUUGCAGUUGAAACUGGCAGUCUUGAGUACAGUAGAGGUGGGCGGAAUUCGUGGUGUAGCGGUGAAAUGCUUAGAUAUCACGAAGAACUCCGAUUGCGAAGGCAGUUCACUGGACUGCAACUGACACUGAGGCUCGAAAGUGUGGGUAUCAAACAGGAUUAGAUACCCGGGUAGUC